AGUGGCGAACGGGUGAGUAACACGUAGGUAACCUGCCCCUGUAACAGGAAUACUUUCUGGAAACGGAAAACAAAACCUGAUAACAGAGGACAAGGCAUCUUGACCUUUUGAAACAGACAAAAGUCUGGAACAGGGAGGGACCUGCGGCGCAUUAGCCAGUUGGCGGGGUAGCAGCCCACCAAAGCGAUGAUGCGUAGCCGGCCUGAGAGGGCGAACGGCCACACUGGGACUGAGAUACGGCCCAGACUCCUACGGGAGGCAGCAGUAGGGAAUUUUCGUCAAUGGGCGCAAGCCUGAACGAGCAAUGCCGCGUGGGUGAAGGAGGUCUUCGGACUGUAAAGCCCUGUUGCAGGGGGAAAAGGGAAUUAAGAGUGGAAAGCUUAAUUUUUGAUGGUACCCUGCCAGAAAGCCACGGCUAACUACGUGCCAGCAGCCGCGGUAAUACGUAGGUGGCAAGCGUUAUCCGGAAUGAUUGGGCGUAAAGGGUGAGCAGGCGGUCAUACAAGUCUGAAGUAAAAGCGGGGUGCUUAACACUUCGAGGCUUUGGAAACUGUAUGACUUGAGGACAGGAGAGGGCGGUGGAACUCCAUGUGUAGCGGUAAAAUGCGUAGAGAUGUAGAAGAACACCAGCGGCGAAGGCGACCGCCUGGACUGGACCUGACGCUGAGUCACGAAAGCGUGGGGAGCAAAAGGGAUUAGAUACCCUAGUAGUCCACGCUGUAAACUAUUAAGAGCAGGUGUUGGGAGUUAAAUUUCAGUGCGGAAGCAAACGCAAUGACUCCUCCGCCGGGGGGAGUAUGCACGCAAGUGUGAAACUCAAAGGAAUUGACGGGGGCCCGCACAAGCGGCGGAGCAUGUGGAUUAAUUCGAUGCAACGCGAAGAACCUUACCUGGGCUUGACAUGUACCGGAUUGGGCUAGAGAUAGUCUUUCCCUUGUGGUCGGUAUACAGGUGGUGCAUGGUUGUCGUCAGCUCGUGUCGUGAGAUGUUGGGUUAAGUCCCGCAACGAGCGCAACCCUUGUCUUAUGUUGCCAGCACGUUAUGGUGGGAACUCAUGAGAGACUGCCGGGGUUAACUCGGAGGAAGGUGGGGAUGACGUCAAAUCAUCAUGCCCCUUAUGUCCAGGGCUUCACACAUGCUACAAUGGUCGAUACAAUGGGCAGCGACAUCGCGAGGUGAAGCGAAUCCCUGAAAGUCGGCCUUAGUUCGGAUUGGGGUCUGCAACUCGGCCCCAUGAAGUUGGAGUCGCUAGUAAUCGCAGAUCAGCAACGCUGCGGUGAAUACGUUCCCGGGCCUUGCACACACCGCCCGUCAA
This 1315-nucleotide ribosomal RNA is filed under the name uncultured bacterium. RNAcentral's name for it is "bacterial SSU rRNA". It matches the Rfam family "Bacterial small subunit ribosomal RNA", at positions 94 to 1400 of the family's 1533-position model. The record is from RNAcentral.